UGGGUAACCUGCCUCAAAAGAGGGGAAUAGCCUCCCCGAAAGGGAGAUUAAUACCGCAUAAUAUGUUUAGGUCGCAUGACUUUAACAUCAAAGGUAUUUUUCUUUUUAAGAAAUUUCCACUUUGAGAUGGACCCGCGGCGCAUUAGCUAGUUGGUGAGGUAACGGCUCACCAAGGCAACGAUGCGUAGCCGACCUGAGAGGGCGACCCGGCCACACGUGGGACUGAGAUACCGGCCCAGACUCCGUACGGGAGCAG
RNAcentral lists this ribosomal RNA (256 nucleotides) under uncultured bacterium. Its description in RNAcentral is "partial 16S ribosomal RNA". It matches the Rfam family "Bacterial small subunit ribosomal RNA", at positions 118 to 347 of the family's 1533-position model. The record is from RNAcentral.